GGUACAGGAUGGACCCGCGUCUGAUUAGCUAGUUGGUAGGGUAAAGGCCUACCAAGGCGACGAUCCGUAGCUGGUUUGAGAGGACGGCCAGCCACACUGGGACUGAGACACGGCCCAGACUCCUACGGGAGGCAGCAGUGGGGAAUUUUGGACAAUGGGGGCAACCCUGAUCCAGCAACGCCGCGUGAGGGACGACGGCCUUCGGGUUGUAAACCUCUUUUAGCAAGGAAGAAGCGAAAGUGACGGUACUUGCAGAAAAAGCGCCGGCUAACUACGUGCCAGCAGCCGCGGUAAUACGUAGGGCGCAAGCGUUAUCCGGAAUUAUUGGGCGUAAAGAGCUCGUAGGCGGUUUGUCGCGUCUGCUGUGAAAUCCCGAGGCUCAACCUCGGGUCUGCAGUGGGUACGGGCAGACUAGAGUGCGGUAGGGGAGAUUGGAAUUCCUGGUGUAGCGGUGGAAUGCGCAGAUAUCAGGAGGAACACUGAUGGCGAAGGCAGAUCUCUGGGCCGUAACUCACGCUGAGGAGCGAAAGGGUGGGGAGCAAACAGGCUUAGAUACCCUGGUAGUCCACCCCGUAAACGUUGGGAACUAGUUGUGGGGUCCAUUCCACGGAUUCCGUGACGCAGCUAACGCAUUAAGUUCCCCGCCUGGGGAGUACGGCCGCAGGGCUAAAACUCAAAUGAAUUGACGG
RNAcentral lists this ribosomal RNA (689 nucleotides) under uncultured bacterium. RNAcentral's name for it is "bacterial SSU rRNA". It matches the Rfam family "Bacterial small subunit ribosomal RNA", at positions 217 to 916 of the family's 1533-position model. The record is from RNAcentral.